CGGGUCCACACCCAGGAAUCCUUGGGUGGGAGUUAGGACUGCUUUUUACAGCUGGGGAGGCUACUCCAAGGGCCAACAGAAAAACUGAGUGUUAGCCUGGUUCCCUAAGGAAAAGACUGCUGCCUCUAUCUUGGCUGGCCUCAGUGGGCAUCUCCAAUCUCUGCUGAUUUAGUACAAAAGGGGAAUAAUACUAGCUUCUAUCUUCUGUAAUUCUGAUUGCUGGUCAAUACAUGCCACUUACUAGCCACGCAUCCAAGAGCAAGUAUAUUUCCUCUAUGGGCCUCAGUUCCCUUACAAGUCAGUGUUGCCCCACCCCACAGAGGCAUGACUUAGUAAAGCACUUGGCACAGUCAAUGCUUAGUCGACUGUUGCUGUGGUGAACCACAUGAACAAGACUCCCCCUUCCUAUGCAGCGAUUCUAACAUUAUGGUUAUUUUGCCCUAGUUGGUUCUCAGAGGGGCCAUCAAGAACAUCUCAGAAGAAGAAAUGUGUAGCAUGUUCUAAGUCCCCACACACUCCCCACGAUGCAGAGAUGGAGCAGUAUCCGAUAGCAGCCCACAAGUGCAUGCCAGGAGCAGAGCCCAUCAGAGCAGACAGCGGAUCAGCCACAGGACUCAGGUAGUGUGUGUAGGGCAGGGUGGUGUGUGUGAGUUUUCAAACACACAGCCAGAGAGUCUGUCCUGAAAUUUUGGCCUGUGCUCAUGGAGAUCACCCUACCUACCUUGGGGUUAUAGCAUCCAUGUCUUAUUCAAAAGUUUUGGCAUCAUGUCAGUAGGUGGUAGAUCUAUAUACCAAUGCAUCACUCCAGCUGCCCAGGGUGCCAGAGCCACAUUUAGGACCUGCCAGCUUCGUGCACUAGAGUUUGGGUAUAUAGCUUGUCUUCCAAAGAUCUUGUAACGAAACCUGGUACCCAGUGUGAUGUUUUUGAGAGGUGAUGGGUCCUUUAAGAUGUGGAGCCUAGGAGAGGGUGAUUAGGUCAGAGCAACCCUUGUUAGGGAAUCCAUGCAUGAGUGGAUUAGUGCCACUGAAAGUAGUUGCUAUAAAAGAUUGAGCCUGGCUUCUACCUGGUAUCCUGCUGCUUCGCUGCUUUUCCUGUCAUUUGACAUAUUUCUCUCUCUCUCUCCCUCUCUCUCUCUCUCUCUCUCUCUCUCUCACACACACACACACACACACACACACACUAUAAUUCCCAUGCAAUGUUGCAGUGCAACCAGGGGGCCCUCACAAGAAGAUGGCACCAUACUGUUUGAACUUUACAGCCACCAGAAUCAUGAGCCAAGUAAACCUCUCUUCUCUAUAGAUUACCCAGAGUCAGAUAUAUUGUUAUAGCAACACAAUCUACUUUUGGCUGCUUCUCUGCAGGACCCUUCACAGUUUCCGAGGCACAGACCCUCCCUUGGCAGGCUACAGAAUAAGGAGGCUGCCGAUGCACCUCAUCCAUAACCAUCGCUUGCAUGUGUCUACCAGGAAGCAUGCACACUGUUUUUUGGAACCCAAAUGUUCCACCUGGUCCUUAGGUGAAGGCUAGGUCAGAGAUGGGGCUUUCCUUGGGCCAUAAAUAUUCAAAACUGUUGGCAAAGUACAUGGAUUUUGCAGGCAGCUGUUUGUGGCUGUACAAAGGGGGAAUAAUAAUAGCUUCUAUCUUCUGUAAUUCUGAUUGCUGGUCAAUACAUGCCACUUACUAUACAUGUUUGUGGAGCUCCUUGUGAAUCCUGUUGUCCCAUAUAGUCACUCCUUGGAGUCUGGUCUUGCUGAUUCCCUUCUACUAUUCCACAAAACCUAGAAUUUGUCCCUGUGGUCCUGAGAUGCAAGAAGUGGAGCCAUCAGUUAUAGUGAAAGACACUUGCAAAUUCUCCUCCCCCCACCCCCUGUCACUCACACACUGACUUCAGCUGAGUAACUCUACUCUCUGGUACCCUUUAUUUCCUCCUGUGAAAGGUCAGUGUGCCACUCCAACCCCUUCCUUCUAUACAGUAGAAGAAACUGAGGGCAGGUGAGGGGAUGGGCCAACUAAGGUAAGCCUGCAACCAGGCACAUUGACUCCAUUAGUCUUUAUUCACUGAGUAAAUGGAUGAAGACUGCUCGUGUCCUCACAACCCAUAAAGAACAAGCUUACUGAAUCAGGUUCCAAUCAGUCAUUUUGAACAUUAAACUGGGUUGUGUUUUGAUCUCCCUUUUCUUGAAAAUAACCUAUAGCCUGCUCUUGUACAAGCUGCCUGAUCUGCUUUUCUCAGUUUCCAUGUUUCCAACUUUCAGAAACAGGGGAAGGUGGCAGGAAAGGAGGCAGAACAAGUGGAAGGAGCCGAGACAUGGCCAUCCUGCAGCUUCAGUGGAUGGAGAAAAC
This 2344-nucleotide long non-coding RNA is filed under the name Marmota monax (woodchuck). The record is from RNAcentral. Lineage: Eukaryota; Metazoa; Chordata; Mammalia; Rodentia; Sciuridae.